This 512-nucleotide ribosomal RNA is filed under the name uncultured bacterium. RNAcentral's name for it is "partial 16S ribosomal RNA". It matches the Rfam family "Bacterial small subunit ribosomal RNA", at positions 28 to 523 of the family's 1533-position model. The record is from RNAcentral.
GACGAACGCUGGCGGCGUGCCUAAUACAUGCAAGUCGAGCGAAUCAAUAGGAGCUUGCUCCUGUUGGUUAGCGGCGGACGGGUGAGUAACACGUGGGCAACCUGCCUGUAAGACUGGGAUAACAUCGGGAAACCGAUGCUAAUACCGGAUAAUUCAUUCCCUCUCAUGAGGGAAUGUUGAAAGUCGGUUUCGGCUGACACUUACAGAUGGGCCCGCGGCGCAUUAGCUAGUUGGUGAGGUAACGGCUCACCAAGGCGACGAUGCGUAGCCGACCUGAGAGGGUGAUCGGCCACACUGGGACUGAGACACGGCCCAGACUCCUACGGGAGGCAGCAGUAGGGAAUCUUCCACAAUGGACGAAAGUCUGAUGGAGCAACGCCGCGUGAGCGAUGAAGGCCUUCGGGUCGUAAAGCUCUGUUGUUAGGGAAGAACAUGUACCGGAGUAACUGCCGGUACCUUGACGGUGCCUAACCAGAAAGCCACGGCUAACUACGUGCCAGCCGCCGCAGUAA